AUGUUUGGGGCUGGGAGCAGUCACAGCAGGCACCGGGUGUGGCUGCUGACCUUCACGCUUGGUGCUUCCCCAAAGCAUUCUCCCCAGUUUGUCCUGCUGCCUUCAAGCAGGAAUUGCUUGUGGCUGGGUAUUGUAUGGUCAGUGGUCACCAGCUCGGUUUCCUUGGGAGAACACAUUGCUGCUGGUGAUUAUUUGCCCUUUGGGGCAGCACUGAAAACAGCUUUCACUUAUUGCUGCCUUUGGUUUUGGCUGAACAAGAACUCAGGCUCUGCUGAAGAGAUUUCCAGACCAGAAGUGAAGUGCUGGGCUUCUGUGUCCUGCCUGUAGCACCUCCAUCAUCCUCUUUGCUCUGUGUCCCUGGCUGGAGCAGCCCCUGGUUCCCAGCACUGGCAGCAGGUGGGUGGGUCACUUCAGUCUCCACCCUGGAAUGUGACAUCUCACAGCUCAGUCUCCUGCUUGAAUGUCUCCAAGCUGUUCCUGGAAGGAUGAGCCAUUUGAGCCAGGAAGAGAUGAAAUUAUUGGAAUUGAGCAGAACCAAUUUCCAUGAUAAGUGCUGCCCUGCUGUUUGCACACCAAACCUGUCCUGCUGUGUCUCUGACUCAGACUGAACUGAUGACGUCCUGCUCUGAAUAGUCACUGACUUUUUUGGAGGAGCUGAUCCCCUGAUGUAUGAGUGUCAUCACACACAUGUUGGCUUUCUCCACACAGAGAUUCCACAGGCCUAAGUCUCUCAAUUAGGAUAAAUCAAGAAUAAUGCUAAAAGCAGUGGUCUACCACUGACGUAGGUGAACUGUUGACUUCCUUGGACUAAUUUCAUCUCCUCUGUACGCAGAAAAGAGCCUGUCAUUGGACAACAGAAAUCAGCAUAGCUCCAGCUGGUUCACUGCAGCUGCUGUGGAGCCAAUUCCCUCAGCUGCCCCCUCUAUGUCAUAUUUUACAUCAUAGGAAAUGGGUUUGGUGCAACAACAGGACUGUUGCAGAGCUGUUUUUCUUACAUUGAGAUUUCCCCAGAUGCCAUUGAGCAGACAUACAAAUAUCCAACAUCUUCAAACCAUCAAUUACCCCCCUGUCUCUGUCUCAGGUGUAUUUUGGCUCCCAACCAUCCUGUCUGAGCAACUAAGCAGCCCCUACAACCACUUACUGACCACCAAACCAGCCCAUUGCUGGCCAGAGGCAGGCAGAAAAGAAUCUGAAAGGGUUUUCUGAGCACAUGAGGGGCUGGUGGUUGGAGAAGUUUUGUGGUAGCAUGGCUGUGAGAGAGCAGUGAUCAGCUCUAGGGUGUUGCAGAAAUCUAAAAAAAGAGAUUUUGGUCUGAACCCCCUCCUUGUCCUCAUUCUCCCCAGUUCUGCUUCUCUACAGAGGAUCUCUGUGGUCUGGUUUGCAAAGUGGUAACUGCAUGACUGUUAAAUCAUGGAAGCAAAGGAAAUCCCUUUUUUUCACACUGGUGACACUGGGCUGCAAUAGAAUUAACCACAAUGCAAAUGGAAAGAAACCCUGAUUUGCAGAUUACUCUGCAGUGAGACACUUUCAGAGCUGCACAACACUUUCUCUUCUUUGAGGGCUGCUGCAGGUGCAGAGCAGCUCUGCAGACACAGGACAUCACAGUUCUUUUUCCACCCUCACACCAUUUUCUCCUGCAUCAUCCUCUUCAACUCAAUCCACACAUCCUAACCACACAGAUGCUGUGAGUGUGCUUUUCCCUGUUCCACACCAAAACAAUCCCACAGGCUCCAUACAGCAAUUUGCUCAAAAUAAGAGAAAGUUGGCAUAAGUAUUGGAUUUUUGGUUCAAGAGUUUUUAAACUGCCCUGGUCUGAGCUCUCUGCUCUGUGGCAUUCCUCCCUCCCAGCUAUACCCACUCUUGAUUUAACUGGAUAACCCAGAAAACUCUUCCUUUUUUAAAAGAAAAACCUCUAGGAUUGGUUUCUUCCUUUUUUCUUUUUCUUUUGAACAGGAAACCAAUACUGCAACGGAAAUGAGCUGCUUUAACAUAGGUGCUGGUGCCAGUGCUGCAGCUUGUUCACACAAACCUCCAGCUGCAAGAGCUGCCUCCCCUGUGGUGCUGAGGAAGCCUAUGGAAUUCUGCCUGGUCUAUCUGCUACUCCAGAGUUUUGCUUGAAUGCAGUUGCUGUGGCAUGAAUUAUUGAUAUUUCUGUUCAGGUUUGCUGUUCAUGCAGGAAUUUGUAAUGCUUCCCCACGCUGCGCUGUGAAUGCGCUCCCGGGUCACAUCAAGGGCUGUGUUUAACACCCUUUUACUUGCAUGCUUGUGACAUUGAUUUAGCCAUUUCAGGGCUAGGGCUGCAAAAUUAACCAAACCCCAGUGUAAACAGCUCUUUUUUCUGACAAAAGGCAGUCUCGAGGUGAAAGGAGCUGAUAUGGAAGGGCAAGGAGAAGGUAGAGUUAUGUCUGUGUAUUUUCAGGGCAUCACCACAAAGAUGAUGGAAAGGUUCCUAGGAAUUUCUGAGUGUUCUUUGCCCUGACCUCAGUAUCUGGCAUUUCCAGAGGCUGCCCUUGCUGCCACUGUGCUUAGCACCUCGGGAGAUCGCAUUAAUAACGUCCGUUUCUAAGGCAACAACCUUGUGAUUUAGAAAAGACUGAGUUGAAAGUGUGUGUGUUUACAAACAAACACAUCUUAUCCAUAAAUAUGUAUUUACAUACAUAUGGAUAUGAAUUUAUGUCAGACCUCCAAGUCACUUAGCAGUGGAGAAACAGGAAGCAUCUGAAUGAGGGAAUGUAUUGACAGCGACAACCCAUCUUCAGAGAGUUUGGUCAGAGAUUUCACAAGAAGUAGGAGCAAAUUCACUUAGGAAUUCCCUGAAAGGUGCUACCCACAGGAAAAUGUGGGGCAAAGCUCAGAGGAGGGAACAACCUGGCAUGGAUAAGACUGAGCAGUGAUGCCCAUCAGCCUCCACCAGCCCUGCAGGAGCAACCUUUGCUCUUUACCCCGUGUGAGAUGCAAAUUCAGAUGCAGUCCGUGGUCUAUGCCAGGAAUCACAAUCCUCAGGAGUCAAUGUCCAUCAGGAGAACCUCAGUGCCUGCCCUGGAUCAGCAUUGUGCCAACCAACACUGGGGAAAUACCCAACCUCUUAACCUGGGAUAAACCAGGAGUAAAUUUACAGAGAUACCCUUGUAUGUGGGAGGUCAGCUUAAGACUUUGAUUUUCCACUGAAUAAAGUUUAUCUUCAUUUCUGGCUCA
RNAcentral lists this long non-coding RNA (3195 nucleotides) under Cyanistes caeruleus (blue tit). RNAcentral's name for it is "lncRNA (ENSCCEG00000022435.1)". Lineage: Eukaryota; Metazoa; Chordata; Aves; Passeriformes; Paridae. The record is from RNAcentral.